Non-coding RNA from Vicia faba (fava bean), 303 nucleotides. Lineage: Eukaryota; Viridiplantae; Streptophyta; Magnoliopsida; Fabales; Fabaceae. The record is from the annotation of a GenBank genome assembly.
AUGCAACCUGUCAAUUUCCAAAUCUUAUCAACAUAUACCAUUCAAUAUCUCGACCAGCUUCCGUAUGAAGAUCUGCGCCACCUGCGACUUGGAUUCACUCCACUUCCCUCCGCCAUCACCGACUCAACUCCGGCCACGUUGCACCGAACACCGCGGGAGUUCCACAGAUUACCCCCAGCCGAACGACUCUACUCCGCUGCGAUACUGCCCCUGGCACCACUCCGCCGUGGAACCCGCAUCUUCAACUCUCAGAUCUCAGUGCUGCCACCAUCGGUACGUAUCCUUUCUAUUUGUUAUGGGUGA